UUAGCUGGCGGAUUGAUAUGCUGUUCAUGGAAACUUUUGUUUUACAAGUGAAGUAGAUUUAACCAUGUAUAAACCCCAUCGACUUGGUACUUGGUGCUAAUGAUUGCCAAUGAGCCUACUGCGUAUCUUUUUUUAACAAAAAGAUAUAUUUUCCUUCUCUCUCUGGAGCGUCCUCUCUGAGCCAUUCAUUUACCUAUACCUUGAAACAUACGGAGUUUUUUACUUAUGAAUUUUUUUGACUCAGAAGGGCCUGCUCAUGAGCUUGGAUCUGCUAUCCAUUGUCUUUAUAACCUAGAGAACCGCCUGCCAAUG
RNAcentral lists this unclassified non-coding RNA (312 nucleotides) under Hevea brasiliensis (rubber tree). Lineage: Eukaryota; Viridiplantae; Streptophyta; Magnoliopsida; Malpighiales; Euphorbiaceae. The record is from RNAcentral.